This 429-nucleotide ribosomal RNA is filed under the name Chloroflexota bacterium. Its description in RNAcentral is "Chloroflexi bacterium partial 16S ribosomal RNA". It matches the Rfam family "Bacterial small subunit ribosomal RNA", at positions 355 to 776 of the family's 1533-position model. The record is from RNAcentral. Lineage: Bacteria; Bacillati; Chloroflexota.
UGGGGAAUAUUGCACAAUGGGCGCAAGCCUGAUGCAGCCAUGCCGCGUGUAUGAAGAAGUCCUUCGGGUUGUAAAGUACUUUCAGUCGGGAGGAAGGUGGUAAGGUUAAUAACCUUAUCAAUUGACGUUACCGACAGAAGAAGCACCGGCUAACUCCGUGCCAGCAGCCGCGGUAAUACGGAGGGUGCAAGCGUUAAUCGGAAUUACUGGGCGUAAAGCGCACGCAGGCGGUUGAUUGAGUCAGAUGUGAAAUCCCCGGGCUUAACCCGGGAAUUGCAUCUGAUACUGGUCAGCUAGAGUCUUGUAGAGGGGGGUAGAAUUCCAUGUGUAGCGGUGAAAUGCGUAGAGAUGUGGAGGAAUACCGGUGGCGAAGGCGGCCCCCUGGACAAAGACUGACGCUCAGGUGCGAAAGCGUGGGGAGCAAACAGG